ACAUUGGCAGGUAACGAGCGGCGGCGGCGGCGUCAGCGGCAGCGGGUCUUGAGUCCUCCGAGAGCAGCAGCGAUUUUCUGUUUUGUACAUACGUUAUUUUGUAUAUACUGUAUAUGAUGACUUCAGUGAGCAGUGACCAUUGUCGAGGUGCUCGGGAAAAACCACAGAUUUCAGCAGCACAAUCAACGCAACCACAGAAACAAGUGGUACAGCUGUACCGACCUCUUGACACUUCCUAGAGCUCAGCCUGGCAACGGCUGAACAGAUGCGUCUCGCUCAAGUGAUCUUUGAUAAGAAUGAUUCAGAUUUUGAAGCUAAAGUUAAGCAGGUAUGUUCCUGGCAAAGGAUAUCAUCAUUUUUUAAUCUAUUUUGAUUGUGCUUAAAAAGAUAAUUUCAGUAAAGAUUUUUGUUUUAAAGUAUUACUUCGAGCUUCUAGUCUCACCUGAAAUCUGUGUGUUGGAUUUUGGACUUGUGAUUAAAAAUAUCUGUACUGGUGGGCAAGUGAAGGAAUUGAAUACGUUCACCUACCUUACAAUACAGUCUUUCUGAGUUACUAGUGUUUACAUGUGAACACUGAACCAGACAUUUCUGUAAGCACACUGAGAUUUUCCAAUACCUGUGCAUAGGAAGUAUAUCUAACAUUUGGCACAGUCUCUGGGAAUUUUGUUUAAUAUUAGAGAUGAACUGAAUUACCUUUAAAAAAUUUUUUUUUUCAUAGAGACAUGGUCUCACUCUGUUGCCCAGGCUGUAGUGCAGUGGUGCUGUCAUAGUUCACUGCAGCCUCAAACUCCUAGGCUCAUGCUAUCCUGCUGCCUCAGUCUCCUGAGUAGCUAUGAUGACAGAUGUUCAUCACCAUGCCCAGCUAAUUUUUAAAAUAUUUGUAGAGACAGAGUCCUGCAGUGUUGCCUAGGCUAGUCUUGAACUCCUGGGCUCAAGCAAUCUGCCUUGGCCUCCCAGAGUGCUGGGAUUACAGGAUUACUGGCCUGAAUUGCCAUUUCAAACAUGGUUGUGAUUUCAUACUCUUGCUGGAAAAGUAUAAAAUUAAAUUUUAGGGCAAUGUCUUCAUUUCGAACUUUAAUAAGAGGUAUUUUUGAUACCCUAAUCUUAAUUUCCAACUUUUCUUUGCUGACCCUUUCUCAUCAAGAUUCUAGAAAUCAAGCUGUAACCCCUACCUCAGUGCCAGAUAUACCAACUCUUGGUAGAUGUCGUCUAAUAAUUGUUCUUUGGAGUAAAGGUCUCACAAUGAAAUCUUAUUUUGUCUUACAAGAAAUCAUAGAUUUCUUUCUCUGGAAUGAGAUCUUCAUACAGUUUGAGAUAUACUUCUAUAUAUUACAUUGCCUUUUAUCUGAAUAGUAUAGAUAGAACACUGGCCCAGGAGUUCAGAGGUUUAAGUUCUAAUUUUAGUUUUGUCUGUCAGUAAUCUGAUCACUGGGGAAAUUUUGAUGUUGACUGUGUGUCUUAAAAAUUGUAUGUUGCAGGCAUUCACUUAGUACAGAUCGUUGAUAAAAAUGAGACAUUUAUUAGUAGCUAUCCAAAGACUGAAGCAUCAGAAAGCUAUAGAGUAUGCAGAACUUUUGCUGCUUGAUAAAAUGAAAAGAUGAAAGCAGGGAGGCCAAAUGGUGUAGUGCAGAGAGCUGUGAUUAUGAGAUCAGGAGGCCUGAGUUCUAGAUGGGCGUUGCUAUUAAUUACCUUUGUGACCAUAGACAAAUCACUUGAUAUGUUGGGAUCAAGCUGUUUUGAACUUCAACUAGUACAUGUUAAAAUAGUUAAAUGUAGUUAAAAUGCAAUAGAUAUUAAAUCAUAGGUUUAUUCACUGAUACUUGAGAAACCUGCAUUUUGCCUAGUCUGUGAUCGUUCUAGCGAUGCAAAUGCUAAGUAACAAGUAUCCCUUACUAAUGAGAAUAAACUGAAGAGUUUCUUUCAUCAUUACUUCAAGCAUGGCACCAUGUUGAAGAUCCUUGAGAAAAUAUGUCUAGGAGUGUGUUUUGUGAUAGUAGCAGAAUUCCACUUGUAAGACUUUAGGGUGUUAUAUAACUUAGUAUGUAUAUGGAAUGAUAUUUUUUCUUCUUUUUUUUGGGGGGGGAGACAAGGUCUUGCUCUGUCUCCUGUGCUAGAGUGCAGUGGCACAAUCAUGGCUUAUUUUCAAUCUUCGCCUCCAGGGCUGAAGCAAUCCUCCUACCACCACGCUUGGUUAAUUUUUUGUAAAGAUGAGGUCUCACUAUAUUGUCCAGUCUCGAACUCCUGGGCUCAAGCAAUCCUCUUGUUUCUGCCUCCCAAAGUGUUGAUUAUAGUCGUGAGCCACUGCGGCUGGCCUUUGAAGUGUUCUAAUCCAAAUGGUGAAAGCCAGCAUGUGGAAUAUUGUCCCUGACAAAAAAUUUGUAUUGGAUUUUCCAUGAAUGAUGACUGUGUACUCAUAUAGUUCCACCUCAUAUUUAAAUUUAGGAAUCCUGUGUGCUUGAAUUAAAUUUGAUUAUUCAGAUACUAGAUCUUGGGUAUUCUGGGAAUGUUGGUACGUAUGUAUGUGCUGCUGAUUAAUGAUCUGCUCCUUGGUCAACUUGGAGGAAGAUUGAUUUGUAGUUAGAUUCUACCAGUGUUAGUGAAAAGACAUGCAUGGAAUGGCCACAAAAAUACAAGUAAA
Molecule: small RNA, 2638 nt
Filed under: Pongo abelii (Sumatran orangutan)
Lineage: Eukaryota; Metazoa; Chordata; Mammalia; Primates; Hominidae
Description: retained intron
Source: RNAcentral